Molecule: transfer RNA, 611 nt
Filed under: uncultured Prochlorococcus sp.
Lineage: Bacteria; Bacillati; Cyanobacteriota; Cyanophyceae; Synechococcales; Prochlorococcaceae
Description: partial contains 16S ribosomal RNA, 16S-23S ribosomal RNA intergenic spacer, and 23S ribosomal RNA
Rfam family: tRNA (bases 227-299)
Source: RNAcentral
UGGAUCACCUCCUAACAGGGAGACAACAAAAUGUUUAAUAUUAUUAUUUUGUCACCUUAGGUCGAUCGGUAUCUCACGUUCUUAAUUUGUUAAGAAUUUCAUUUCCUAAGUUUUUCUAGGUCACACCCAUUAUUUUUCCUGGGCCAUUAGCUCAGGUGGUUAGAGCGCACCCCUGAUAAGGGUGAGGUCCCUGGUUCAAGUCCAGGAUGGCCCAUAUCUCUAUGUUGGGGGUAUAGCUCAGUUGGUAGAGCGCCUGCUUUGCAAGCAGGAUGUCAGCGGUUCGAGUCCGCUUACCUCCACUGAUUACCACCUCUUCCAUAACCGGUAGAAAGGAAAUGUUUUGAGUUGUGAUCAUUAUUCUGAACGAAUCUAGCUUCCUAAUGAAACCAUUAAGAUGCUGGACUCAUUGAAUUAAUUUCAUUGUUUUCAGAGAACCUUGACAACUGCAUAGAUUUUUUUAAAGACAAUAAGCAUCUUUAAUGAUGCAGAUUUAUUAUUUGUGCGAAUGCAUUAAUAACAAUUCUAUUAAGCUGAUGCUUCAAUUUUUGAAGUUAUUGGUCAAGCUACAAAGGGCUCACGGAGGAUACCUAGGCACACAGAGGCGAUGAAGG